GAAAACCAGUUUGGGCACAAACGUAUGAGAGGAGGAGAAGGCAGAAAGAUGGGGUGGGUGAAGGGUUAGGGGCUGACGAUCUCAGGUGGAGGGAGAUUGUAUAUGGGGUCAGAAAUCUGGAUUUCUCCUGUAAACGACAGGCACUUGGGGAGGCUUGGUCGCUGUGGGGCUAGAAGGAGAAGGCUGGGACCAGCGAGAGUUGUGGCAUGUGGGAUCCCACCUCACUGUGGCCUGAUGAGUGGUACCAUGUCUGCACCCAGGAUCCGAAACAGGGAAACCCUGAGCCACCAAAGCAGAACACCUGAACUUAACCAUUAGGCCGUGAGUGAUUUUUUUUUUUUUUGAGGAAGAUUAGCCCUGAGCUAACUGCUGCCAAUCCUCCUCUUUUUGCUGAGGAAGACUGGCCCUGAGCUAACAUCCAUGCCCAUUUUCCUCUACCACAGCAUGGCCUGCCAAGUGGUACCAUGUCUAUACCCGGGAUCCAAACCAGUGAACCCAGGCUGCUGAAGCGGAACGUGUGCACUUAACUGCUGUGCCACCAGGCCGGCCCCUGGAGGGUGAUUUAAUUGAGGAAGAUUCAUCGUGAAGUAACACCUGUGCCAGUCUUCCUGUGUUUUGUAUGUGGGUCACAGCCCCACACCACUGAUAGUGGUGUAAGGCCACAUACCUGGGAAGCAAACCCAAGCUGCGGAGGCCAAGUGCACCAAACUUAACCCCUAGGCCACGGGCUGGGCCCUUGAUUUUUUUUAAAUAGACACAUUUUCCUUCUUUAUUUUCAAAAACCAAUAGGAAAAAACAGGGAUGCCUGACCUUAUGGAGUAGUUGUGGGCAUGAAAUAAGCAAAUAAAUGACAAUGAGCGUCAUAAAAUGCUAUGCGUUGGUAUGUUAUUUUUAUUGCGUUGACCGUUCCUUGAGGGCUAGGCUACUUCUUUCUCAGUUGUCAUAUGUGCACAUACUUCAUUCAGAUAUUCAUUCCUUCAACGUUACGGUAGAAUGUAAGUUUCGAGAAGUCAGGGACUCUGUCCACACUGUUCUCCUCCAGCUCCUCAAUGCCUGCAAAAGUGCCUGGCGCUCAAUAAAUGUUUGUUGAAUUAAAAAGAAAAACUUACAAAUAGAUAU
This 1119-nucleotide long non-coding RNA is filed under the name Equus caballus (horse). RNAcentral describes it as "lncRNA (ENSECAG00000057348.1)". Lineage: Eukaryota; Metazoa; Chordata; Mammalia; Perissodactyla; Equidae. The record is from RNAcentral.